UACUUUGAAAAUACAUAUUUCACAUUAUAAUAGAAUUUCAUAAUUUAGAAAUGAAAAGUACAUCACUCUAAUUAUAUUUCUCUUGAUGAAAGUAAAAUUUGACAAGUUAUCUCUGCUGACAAGAAUCUGCAUCAGUGAAUCUGCAAAGAGGGCACCAGUUAGGGGUGGGGCCUCAUCUUCCUAGAUGGCUCAGGUCUAGAGCCUGUUGGCUGGUCAGACAUAACAUUUUUAUGUUUAUCAAAUAGGAAAAUGAUUUUUUAAGGACCAUCUGGGCACAGGUAACAGGAGAUGCUUGUAUCUCUCCUGUAGGGUCAGUCUUCAGGAGACGGAGCUGAGACAGGAGUCCUACUGGCAAGGCUAUUCUGUGCUCCAUGUGUG
Molecule: long non-coding RNA, 378 nt
Filed under: Homo sapiens (human)
Lineage: Eukaryota; Metazoa; Chordata; Mammalia; Primates; Hominidae
Description: non-protein coding LINC01948:12
Source: RNAcentral